This 23692-nucleotide long non-coding RNA is filed under the name Citrus x clementina. RNAcentral's name for it is "Citrus clementina (C. clementina) long non-coding RNA (CCLE_LNC001063)". Lineage: Eukaryota; Viridiplantae; Streptophyta; Magnoliopsida; Sapindales; Rutaceae. The record is from RNAcentral.
AGGCAAUAGUCCGACUUUAUUGAUAUUGAGAGUAACACAAUAAAAGUUUCGUACAGAUUUUGCAAACGAAAAGCACAUAAUACACUUAACUAGGUGGAAAAAUUAAAGUGUAUGUAUUACAAACUGCUAACAAUAUACAAUAGUAAAAAUCACUCUUAUGAACUCACAAAUACUAGGCACCAAUAAGAGUAUGAUACAGCCAUUCUAAAUGAAAGAGAAUACAACUGUUUUACAACUAUGUCACAUCAAGAGAUAUGUUAGCAGGAUUAAUCCAGAUACCUAGGGAUGGCAACUGGAUCGCUCUAUAAUGGAUAUCCACAAUAUCCAUCCAAUUGGAUCGGAUAAUAUCCAUCCAAAAAUUUUUAGAUUUUGAAAUGGAUAUUUUAAAAUUAUAUCCAAAUGGAUAUGGAUGGAUAUAGAUAAUUAUUUUUACCCAAUGGAUAUCUAUUUAACCCAACACAAGUUUAAAAAAUUUUAAUUUUAUAAAAUAAAAAAUAAAAAAUAUAAUAAACAAACAAUUGUAAAAAUAUUAUAUUAACUAGUGAAAAUUUUAAAUUCAUCUUAUAUUAAAAACUAAAGUUUUCAAAAUUAUCCUUUAAUUUUUUAACUUAUUUAAUAUUAUUAAAAAUUAUUAUUUUAUUUUAUUAAUUUAAUAUUAUAAAUGGACAUCCACCGGAAAGUCACCGGACCUCCUCCGGAAUUCACCGGAAAGUUGCCGGACCACCGUCGACUUCGCCGGAAUUCGCUGGAAAGUUGCCGGACCACCGCCACCAACCACCAGACCGCCAUUUUAUAUAUAUAUAUAUAUAUAUAUAUAUAUAUAUAUAUAUAUAUAUAUAUAUAUAUUAUUACUAAUAUAAAUAGUUUAAUAACCAAAUUUAAUAUUGGAAUUUUAAUUAUUUUAUAUUAUUAUUUUUAUAUAAUAAAAAUAAAAUAUCCAUAGAUAUUCAUGGGUCUCCAUAGUUAUAUGGAUAAAAUCUAUAUCCAUGUCCAAUAUUAAAUACUGGAUAUGGAUAUAGAUAUAUCCAUUAUCGAUAAUUAUGGAUUUGUGUUUGGAUGGAUAAUAUCCAUCCAUAAUUGAAUAUUUGCCAUCCCUACAUAUACCUUUGAACCCAAUUAACCAACUCGAGUCAGAAACCAGGGGCCCCCAACUGAACCUUACAAUCUUGAAGGAAGAAGGAGACUUGUGGUCCAGAUAGGAGACUUACUAGAUCUCCUGCAAAAGAGAAUAUCUAUUGCUUUGAACCUCCAUUGAAAUUUCUUUUUCUCUUUUUCUUGUUUUAACUUGGAACUUUCCAGCAUCAUCUAUUUGAUCUUUUUUGAAGGUAAAAUAGCAAUCUAUAGGUUGCCAACAUGUUAUUCUGCCAAACCCCACCCCCCGGGGGACAACAAAUAGUGCCUACUCAACUUAUGUUUUCCAAUGGACGACAAUAUGCAAAUCGACCCAGUAGCCACAUUUUUCCUCCCUUUCAACCACCGUUAGGCAACUUUUCUAACCUUCCUUCAUUGCCCACACGUACAGAACUAUAAUAAAAAGACUACAUUAUUAUUGGGGUAGAGAAAAUAUGCAGACUAUAUUAUUAUUACAUCACAUUUUACUAAUUAACUAGUGCACGACUUAUUUAGUGUCAAAUCAAGAACUAAUUAGAAAAGACAACUCUUGAUAAUACAGACCUUAACAAGCAAUAGCUAACAACAUCCCAUAUACUCUUAUUUUAGCCUUCACUAUCCUGGUAAAAACACAAAUAAGUCUUGCAAACGAACAUUUAUAAGUAAAUUCAACAUUAAUUAAGAUUAGGUAUCUACUGCACCUUCAAUCAAUGACUGGGUGAAUAGCAUGGUCAACCAUCUAGUUCCUGUAGCCUUCCAUGUACCUAUGUUAGUUACAUUUUAUAUAUUAAGCCAUGAAAAUGAAGAACUCUUCCAUUUCAAACAGUGUUAGAAGAUAUUUGCAAAGCCUAAAGAUAACAUACGAGGACCAAGAUAUACACAGAUAGUUUCUUUACGGGACUAAAGAGCUUUUUUAGAUGUUAAAACUGUUUCAAACUCUUUUUCUUGUUUGGUUUAACUAAGGAAGAGCUUGUGGAAGAUUAAAAAUGAUGUUUCCUGUUCUCUGUAGGAAGCUUUUAGGAGAUUUUUUGGGUUUUUUUGAAAGGUUGAAUUGUCAAAAAUACCUUGAUGUUAUUGUUUGCUAAAAGAUGUUAUGGACAACUAAACAACCAACAACAUUUUGUUAAAAGCUCUACUAGUGUAGGAUCUACUUAAAGAAGCUAUACCAAACAGAUUCUUAGACUAAAUAACUCGAUCUUAAGUUUGUAAAAUUGGGCUCAGAAUCUCCACUAACAACCCCGCUUCGGUGAGAAAGCCCAAGCCUGUUACUUUGUAUAACCUUAUUCUGUAUGUUUGAUUGCAGGAACUGGCCGAUCAUACCGACGAGGUGAGUGUGCAACAUGAGGUGCUUGACGGGAUGUUUACUUUCUAUGAUACAACUAAAGCUAGCCUCAACAUAUAUCAGGUGCCUGCUUGUUUUUACCUUCUAGAUACUAAUAUUGUUUAGACGUGUAAUCUCUCUCUCCAUUGAACGCUAGACGGCUCGUCUCAAGCCUUCUACGUACAUCAGAGUCCUUCUUUAGCUUUUUAUGUAUAAAGUUUUGAUCUUUUUCCUUCAUUUGCUUGAAGCUCAUUACUGCAGAUUUUUUUUACAGGUUGCUAGUGUAACAUUCGACUUGCUGUUGCUUCUAGUGUUGGGAUCGUAUUUAAUUGUGCUUUUCAGCUUUCUUGUCACAACAACUUGGGUAUUACUCUUUCUCCAUAUCAAGCUUGAAGUUCUAAAUUUCAGUUUUAUCUUUUAUUUGAUGUUUUAUAAUUUCAUUGCAAACAGAUUAGAAUAGAAACUUCAAAAGUUCCAACUGACUAGUCCCGUGUAACUUUUUCAGGGAAUAUUUUCUCUCAUAACAACUACGAAUGUGUUAUGGUUUAGCUCAGUGACACAAAGGAUAGAAAAUCUAAGAUGCGAAAAAUUUUUGUUGAGAUUCAUUUUUCAUCCUGAUGUUACAGCUGGCCUUUUUUUUUUUUUUUGGCAGAGAAUAAUGCUUGUGUGAUUUCUGAACUUGGUGAUUGUUGAAAUGAGCUGAAAAUGAGCUGGAAAUGUGUUUGGUUAAUGAGAAAGAGAGCAAGAAAAUGAAAGAAAUCUAUUUCACUUUUUAUUUAUCAGCAUGAUUACAUUCACAAUAAAUCUAAGCUGCUAUUUAUACUUAAAUGAAUACACACGAGAAUCUUCUUGCUAGAUACUUCUAGAAACUCUACACGCACACUCACAUUGAGCUAGUGGUUACUAAAACCGUUACAACGAUAUUGCCAGCUCAGCAUAACCAACUUAUAACUAACACACUCAGCUGCAGGGGAAACCAUCAAGCUUACUGUGCAUCCUCUGUACUCAAGCUUCUUUAAGCAUGCUCUGCAGAUCAUACUCAAGCUUUUUUUUUCAUAGAAGUUGCAAUCUUUACGUUAUAUACUAGUUUGACUAGGCUAUAUAAGGAAGCUAUAUGAAAUUAGAAAAAUAAGCUAUACUAGGAAAGAAUAAAUAUAUGUACAGAAAAUUAGGCUAUAAUCUCUGACUUUAAACAAAUUUAAUAUCAAUUUUCUUCUGGAAGUUGUCUCGCAUGGGGCGCAUCAGUAUUGUAACGUCUGAUGGGUCUUACAUUAUCCACAAAAAUAACUCGUCCAUCUAGUACCUGCAAGUACAUACUCUGAGAUGCUUAAACUCAACAAUAUAAGCAUGGAAAAUUAGAGAAAAAUGAUGCAAUUUUACCUUCCCAUUCAUGUCUGCCGAGGCUUUUUGGGCUUCCUCUUCUGUACUGAAAGUCACAUAUCCGUAACCUUUUGAUCUAUUCUUACCUUUAUCCAUUAUUAUUGUAGCUGCAAACAGAAAAGAAUCGGAUAUUACAAAAUAGUGAAGAGGGAAGAGGGGUUGAGACUUAAAACAGAAAUAGACCAAACCCUCAGUGACGUGGCCAAAUUGUGAAAAAGCAUCAGCUAACAUUUCUUUAGUGGUUGAGAAAGAUACGCCUGCAAAGGAUGCCAGUUAAUUUUAUCAUAAUUUUAGAUGGUAAGAUUGCAAAUUCUGCAGCCAAAGGUAGUACGGAACUGAAUGAAGGAAAUCAAAUAUGAAUAUGUUUUCAAUCUCAGAAUAUUAAGAGUAGCAUAAGUAACUUGUGAAACAGUUACAAGUUCAACGGAAUUAACUGAUGGCAUGGUUGAAUUUUGUAAAUAUUUGAUAUUUUGAACCGAACACGGCAAACAGAUGGAUCCAGAUAAUCAAGAAAAACAUCAAUUCCAUGCAACCAAAUUAGUGUGGGCAAUGCAAUUGAGCAACACUAUAAAAUUAUUCAAAGAAAUCUCUAGGUCAGUAUCCAAAUAUAUUUCUGAAAAUGUUUUUUUCUCAUUAGCGCCGCCAUUUUUGUAAUAGAGGGUAAAGAAAUAAGUAACAAAGUAAGAGGUGAGCAGAAGCGGCCCAAUUUAGCUAUAUGCCAUGCAUGCGAUCAAAAUUGAACGGUUAAAUGGCAGCCACUAUGUUACAUCUUGUGUAAGUAACAAACCGCCUACAUGGAUCGUUGGAUUUGGGAAUAUGAAAUCCAAUGGAUAAUAUUGAAUUUAACGAAAAAUAGAUUACAGGUUGCAUUAGUCCAAGUUUAUUUCAAACAAACCAGCUGACGAAAUAGCCGCUAAUCAAAUUUAAAAGGGAAAAAAAAAUCAAAUUAUAGGUUAUAGAUCUUAUUUCCAUCUUAAAUCUAUGUCUUUCGUGGUGACUCAAUUUGUAAACUAAUUUAUAAUUUGGAUCUAUAUUAGAGCUAAUGCUUCCCUAAAUAACUAAGAAAAUUUUCUUUUCAUUGAUUAAAUAUUUAUUUCCAAUAUCUUGUAUAUGUAGGAUUUGAAAAGAGGGAAAAUAGUAGGGAUGAUAAUGAGAGAAGAUAGAGAUGUCGAUUCUCAAAUCUAAUAUUAGUGCUAUACUUAUAUUCCUAUACUAAAUAAAUUAUCCAAGGUUCGUGCUUAACGAUACGUUGCAAAAUUUUAAUUUCUAUUUAAAGCUCUGUCUAAUAUGGCUUUUCAUAAAGCUUAGAGAAAAGUAGAGCUUUUACCAAAAAAAAAUUAAUUAGAAUUGUCAAUGAUAAAUUUUAAAAAGUACUUUAAUAAAUAAGCUUUUAAAGUUAUAUAUAUUAUGAAAGAAAUGAAAUAAGAUUAUAUAAUAAAUUAAGAGUAUCUUAGAUAAUUGAACUUUAAAAAAAAAACUCGCUAAGAGGUUUAAAAUUUGAGUUUUAAUAGUGGAUACAAAAUAGUUUAUUUAAUUCUCAAAAGCUCUACUCAAAAUAGUUUAUUUAAUUCUCAAAAAAUAUUUUUUUCAUUGAGUAAAUAAUACUAAACAUGCACUAAAGUGUUAGGACCAGAAGUUGUACAAAAAAUGAUGGCUACAACUUAAAUUAUGAAUGGAGUAAUCGGAGAAUAUUGAAACCCGUUUAAUUUGGAUCGUGCAUUGAGGGACGAAAGGAUAAAAAAUUUAAUUUUGAAAUUGCUGUUGGGUACGGUACAAUGACUUACCGUUGACAGCUUUUGCAACCGGAUUACAAUCGGUUAGUUCAAUAAUUUUAUAUCCCCAUUUAACCGCCACGUGCUGCUGUUACAUGGGUCAAUUAGUCAUGUCAUUACUGUUACUUACAGAUGCCGUAACAUAACCGGACCCUGGUUAAAUUCUGUUGUUUCCAAUAAUUUUAUGCUGUAUCUUCUUUAAUAAUAAAGAAAACUUGCAUUAAAAUUAAAAUUAGGGUAAUACCUGAUUUUAUAAAUAGAUUGCAAUGUAAUUUUGAAAAAUAAAACAAUAAUUUACAAAAUGUUUAUAACAUAAUUUUAAUUUUUUUUCAAAAAGGAAAAAGAACAAAAGUAAGAAAUAGAGAAUUAGGGCUACAAACUUUGUAUCUUAAACGGCCGUUAGAUUAUUUGUAAAUGAAAGCAACGGUCAGAUAUUGGUGGAUUAUGGAAACAUGUAAUCAUAAGGACUGUGAGUUUUUUUUGUUACAUUAAUAUAUUACAAUCAAAUUCUAUUAGUAUUUACAACUAGAAUUUCAUUUGACUAUCUUUGAUAAUUCUAAACUAGUACAACCCAAAUUCUUAUUCUCACAUAAUAUCAAAGAGAGAUAUAUAUUCUUCUCCUCUAUUAAUAAAGAGACAUUUUUAUUUCCUUUUAAUAGUUAGGACUCAGAACUCAUACACGCUAGUUUGAGAGUGUUGGGUGUGACAAUGAGCCAGGAGACCAUUGACAAGUACAAAAGAGUGGUAGAAAUUAAUUCAAUCCGCUACACACGCUAUUGCAACCAAAUUGAGGGCCCAUUUUUGUUUAUUUGGUUGAAAAAUAGUUUGCAUAAUUAAUUCAAACCGCUACACACGCUAUUGCAACCAAAUUGAGGGCCCAUUUUUGUUUAUUUCGUUGAAAAGCAGUUUGCACAAUUAAUUCAAACCGCUACACACGCUAUUGCAUCUUUUGAAAAAGAAAAACAGAAUAGUUUUCUAAAAUUAAUUCCGAGAAGAAGAUUAACUAAUAAUGAUGUUAGAAAUUUUAAUAUUUGAGUCUUAAUAUUAUGUAUCACUCAUUUAUUAAAUAAUAGAUUUCAUAAUUUAUAAAAUUACUUAACCACUUGAUAAAUGUUAUAUUUGUUGGGACUAAAUUGGGACUUAAAUGUUGGAAUAUCUAGUAUUGCAUUAAAAAAUAAAUAAAAACAUAACAAUUUAUCUUCACUUGACUAAUUGUUUUUACAUCACAACUAACCUUAAUUAUUUUGAAAGUUACAGUAUUAUUAAAUUGUCCUAACUGGUUAUCAAAAGUUGAAGCAUGUUAAAAUAAAAAAAAUUACCAAGAAACAUGUGCUUAAACAGAGGUUAAGGCUAUGAACAAUUAAGAAGAAACUCUUAAUUUGGUCCCAGUUAGUAUAAUAAUCAUCUAUUGAGCGGUAAAAUAUUAAUUUUAAUAGUGAUGAAAUCCAAUAUAUAAUAGAUUAAUAACACACAUAAAUUAAAACUUAACUGUCAGAAAUCAUAACAUUACUCUACUCUUCAGUAGAGUUCUCUUAACAGAUUAUGUGAGAUUGCCUACAUUAAAAAUAGGUUAAGACUGCUUGUUGAAAGCAAUAUUCGCUUUUUCAUUAUAUCCAUAACUUUGUUGGGUCCCUCUAUGGUGCCGUAAUUUUUUUUACGGUAUUAAUAGUGUAACAAAUUUGUACCAUUAGAUAUAAUCAACGGUACACAUUAUUUUUAAUAAUGAAAAUAUUUAAUUAUUUCACAAAUGUUAUAACCGGUUAACAAACCGGUUGCAAAACCUAUUUUAAAUUUAAAAGGAAAGAAAAUAGAGAUAUAAUAAAACUCAAUCUCCUUCUUUAUCUCAUAAAAUUCGUAAUCUGUUUAUCUCCUUUGUUGUUGUAUUGAAAUUGGAUUCCUCAAUGCUGUCUCAGUUCACAAAUGAUUAAUCGUGUCAAAUCGUAAGCUUGUUCUUAUCGUUCAACUUUUUCUCCAUUUAUUGCCACAUUUAUUUGAUAGGUAGGCUUUUAAAUUUAUUGCUCGAUGGUGACAUUAGACAAGGAAUCACAGAUUUGAUGUUCUUUGUUGUACUAAAUUCAUAUCAAAUCUUGCUUUGAUGCUAUAAUAUAUUUAGUUACUACCUUACAUUUUCUUUUUUCACAUUUGAAAACAAAUUCUUUUUAUUCAUAGGAUUACAUAAAGUGCGCAGCCCUGAAGUUUGAACUUCAAAGGAUAAAGUUGCAUUGCAGCAUGUUAAGCAGCAAAGCUUCUUCACUGCAUUAGAUAGAAGACGGUGAAUCAAGUGCAGCCAAGACUUGGCUGAGUCAGCAAUUAACCACCAAUCGUUUAAGAAAGAGGGGCAAAGCAAGUUGAGGCCCACUUAUUAAUCUUAGCCUCUGAUUCCAUUCUCCUUUUCUCCGUCCUGAUUUGAUUAUCUCCAGCAGUGACGCUAAAGGUUAAACUGGCAUGAUCUUGCCCACAUAUAAAUGUAUUUUUUUUUUUUAGGAUCUGAAGGGGCAAAUUUUUUUUUCAAGUUUGUUAUAUGAUCUUUUGUGAAGACCUGAAGAUACGAGAGUCAGAUUAAUAAUUUUGUCUCUCUUAGGCUUUAUGCAGUGGGAAUGAACUUUCUCUCUUUUAAUUCUCUGCCAUUUUCUCAAUGAAGGCAGCAAGAGAAUAUUCAGUCUUUCAAAGUCUCAACAUUCAUAAUUUGGCCAGUCUAGUUGUUUACCUUGCAUCUGCUGGAGUAUUAUAUCGCCAAGAGAUUUUUCCGUUGCACUUUACGAAUUUAUAUUAUUUUGAGGAGGGAAUUCAGCUAACUAUUAAUAUCAUACAAUUGAAAUUUAAAUGUCGGUCUUUAAAUUCUAAAGAUUAAAGACAAGCCUAAUAUGAAAAUACAGAUGUUAAAAUCUUCAUUUUUGUUUAUUGAUACUUUAUUUGUUAGUAUCAUAAUUUUAGAGAUAUAUUUGAUGUUACAUGAUUGACUAAAUAUUAACAUUAAAAUGCAGAUGGAAAGAAAAAAUGAUGGAGGGCUCCAUAAAAGCAUAAAAAGAAACGGAGAUGGUGAAGCAAACUUUCGAAAUUGCAACCAUGAGAAGGAAUUGACAAAGCUUAAUGAAAAAAUGGAUGGGAUGACAUUUAAUCUUGUCGCUGUCAGGCAUGAACUUGGUGAGCUGAAGAGGAACAAUUUAGAUACUUAUGCAUUGGUACAAAAAAUGUAUAGUGUAGUUGAAGCACUUGAACGUAAUAUAACUCAUAUGCAAUCACACGCAUGGAAGGAAAAGAUGAACUCUUCUAGUAAAGAUGUUCAAAAUAGUAAAAAUGAAUCAAGUGGUCAAAAUUUCGUGGAAAAGGGAGAUGAGUUUGGGGUGAAGAUCGCAGAGAUUAAGGACAAGAUUGAAGACGCAUGUGAUGAAAAUUUAUCAUUGAAAAACUUAUUUGUGUAUAGGAAACAAAAAGAGAACCAAAUCUUCCACAAUGUUGUUAAAAAGGUAUGAUAAUAAACUAUUAUUCUACAUUUUUUUUUCAAAAAUAUUUGUAUAGCACAUUCAUUAAACAAAAAAAUAAUAAUAAUAAAAUUCAUGUUCUUAUGCAUGUAGGAUAAAGCCAUGGAUGCAGUUGAUUUUGUGGAUUUGGUAUCAUCGGUGGAAGUAGAUGCAAUUGAGGAUAAAAAGGUGCGUCCUCGAAAGCCCAGUCGUUAUAAAAAAUCUCCUUAUGAAAAUUUUACAAAAAAAAAAGGCUAUCGCAAGAAGGAGUUCGAUUUAUCCAAACAUGGAGCUUCUUUUUCGGAGGAAGAAUGGUAUAUUUUACAGUAUAUUUUUCAUGAACAACUAGAUAAAAGGUAUGGAACUAUUUAAAUAUAAUCAUAUUUUAUAUGUUUGUAUUUUGAUGUUAUUAUUUGUUUUAAUUAACUAUUAAUGUGAGUGUAUAACUUAUGCAGAGAGAAAAUUGUAAUGACAAAACGACAUAUUGUUACCCGCUUCUUAAUGUCUUCUUUAGCUCCUAAUGUUUGGAUAUUUGAUGAGGUAUAUUGUGUUAGUGUGUGUGUCUAAUAUUCAGAGCGUAAUAAGAUUAUAUGUAUUUAAUUUAUAAUUUAUUUUUCAUUUGGUAGUGCAUGUUUUAAUAAUAAUGUUGUGAUGAUUUUAUUCAUAGAUCAUAAGUUGCUAUGCUGAGUAUUUAACUAGAAAGGAGAGUUUGAAGCAAGAUAAUGAGACUCGAAAUUGGUUUUUACCAACUCUUUUUGGGGUAUGUUAUAAAUUUUUGUUGUUACAAAUAUAUAAUAUGCUUUUACAAAAAAAUUAGAAUUUUUUUAAAAUUAUAUCUUACCAUCUUCAUAUAAUUAUUAAUUUAUGAAUGUUGUAGCAAAUAGUGGCGAAUGUGUCAGGUGUUUCAACUAUUGAUAGAUCAGAGAUUGAAAUUUCGGUUCGUAAACAUAACAUUUGUGAAUUUUACAUGGGUGCACUCAAAAGAUGUGAAAAGGUCAGGAAUAUUAUCAUAUGUUCAAAAAACAAAAAAAUUUAUUUACUCAAAUAUCAUAUGUUUUAUUAUUAUCAUUUGAAGGGAGUAAUGAUUAAUACAAAAUUAGUGUAUUGUUGCACAGAUAUAUGUUCCUCUUUAUGACGGGCUUGCAAAACAUUGGUAUCUUGUAAUAAUGAAUAUAAAAGAUAAGACUGCUGAGAUUUGGGAUUCUUUGCCUAAUUCUGAAAUAGAACCAAAUCAUCGUCAAGAAAUCGUUAAGCAAAAUGUAAGUUCAAAUUUUUUAUUUGUUUAUAUGAAAUUACUAGAUGCAAUAUAUAUUAACUAUCAUUAUUAUUAUGCAGUACAUGCAUUGGNNNNNNNNNNNNNNNNNNNNNNNNNNNNNNNNNNNNNNNNNNNNNNNNNNNNNNNNNNNNNNNNNNNNNNNNNNNNNNNNNNNNNNNNNNNNNNNNNNNNCCUAGUCUUGCUUCGUGAUAUAGCCUUUAACUUUCCUUCUGAUUGGGUAUUUCGUUGACUUUGACAUUUUAUAUCCAAAUAAUGUGCCAAUUCAACCAAAUGGAAAUGAUUGUGGCUUGUAUGUGAUGAAGUUUAUGGAGACUCCAUGUGAGAUGUUAUUCCCAACUUAUAAGGUAACUUAAUCAUACAAUUUAUAUUUCUUAGUUUGCACAAUACUUUAAUCAAUAUUAAAUUGUUAUUAAUUCUAUUAUAUGCAGUAUGAAUCGGAUGAAGAAAGAUUUCGUCUUGCGCUACUCCUUGUAAAUGGUGAUGCAAAUGAAGUAAGAGAUAGUGUUAUACAAAAAGCACUAUCAUUCCGUGGUCCUAAGACGAAUGUUAUUGCAACUAGUAAAGUUAGAACUAAAGUUGCUUCUCAAAAAAAACAUCGUUCAAUUAAUAAAGUUAGAACUGUAAUUGGUACUGGAGAAUAUUUGAAGAAACCAGGAAGAAAAUCCAAUUGAUCUGCCUAGUAGAGGUUUAAUAAAUUUGGUAUUGGACGUAAUUUGUAUUUUGUCACUUUUAAUUUUUUUGUCCCCUCAAUUGAAUUUUAUAUUCAAUGUAAAGUUUUUAUUUGGAUUACUUAAUUUUCUUUUUUAGUUUUUAAGUUUUUGGAUUACUCUUUAUGAAAAUUUUGUGUCUUGUUACUUUCAAUUUUUUUUGUCCCCUUUAAUUGACCUUUGUAUUCGAUGUAAAGUUUUUAUUUGGAUUACUCAUUAAGUUUUGUUAGCUUUUGAGUUUAUGGUCUCUUCCAAUUAAAAACUUUCAAAAAAUAAUAGCCUGCUUUUUUUUUUUUUGUGUGUGUUUUAAGUUCAGCCUACAAGUGAAUGACUGUAAGUCGUUAACUAAAAAUCUAAAAAUGUCAAAUGUCAAAUAUUCUUCCGCUUCUCAUCACCUUCUUUUCCAACCUAUAAUAUGCCAAACAAAAAUGCAUCAAUAAAAAUAAAUUUAGAUAACAGCUAAAAUAUUCAACCUUUGUAAGAAUUAUCCUAAUAUAAAUAUACCUCAUUAAGUACUGGACAUUUGCGUCUAUUGUGUCCAGGUAAUUUGCAAUACCCACAUUUUUUCAAAUUGACGCCUUUAUUAAAUCUUGCACUAGGAGCACCUUUCGUCUUCACACUUAAUGGAUCUUUUAUAAUAGCAACAUUUCUCUUCUCACUGGACCAUCUACCUCUUUUCUCUUCAAAAUUCCCACUCAACUCUAACAUUUCAGACUUAAGUUGUGUGAUAAGACCCUUUAAUUUCAAGUAUCCAGCAUCUGUCAUCGAGGCAUAGAAAAAUGUGUCUAGUUACAGAAGAAAUUUACAGAAUCAAAUUUUGACUUCGCUUCUUAAAGAUAUUCACGAUUUAGUGCACAAAGGUCACAACCGUCUAGAAACCACACAAGAUCCGAUGUUUCUGAAUUAACUGAUAUCAAUUAACAAGGAAUAAAAUUAAAAACUAUAUAUCUAUAGAAAGAUUUAUUUUUCAGGAGUUCAAAUAAUUUUACGGUUUUCUAUUUGAAGUUUUCUACAUGAAGAUAUGGCUUAAAGAAUGCUGACUGCUCAAAAUCACUGAAGCAACCAAGUCUAUGAUUAUCAGAAAACUUGCAUGAUUAAACUGUACUGAUCUAGAAUAUAUGAGAUUGCAUACUAUAUAUUUUUUGAUAGAUAAAUAUGUCUAGUUACAGAAGAAAUUUACAGAAUCAAUUUUCGACUUCGCUUCUUAAAGAUAUUCACGAUUUAGUGCACAAAGGUCACAACCGUCUAGAAACCACACAAGAUCCGAUGUUUCUGAAUUAACUGAUAUCAAUUAACAAGGAAUAAAAUUACAAACUAUAUAUCUAUAGAAAGAUUUAUUUUUCAGGAGUUCAAAUAAUUUUACGGUUUUCUAUUUGAAGUUGUCUACAUGAUGGCUGAUGUGUUUCAGCAGAUAUUACAAGAGGAAAUAUAUCUUCUCCCAGUGAUGGUUUUGAGAGAUCGUCCAACUCAUAGAAGCCUAAGUCGAUGCCUGUUCCCGAAGGCUGACGAAACUUCUGACCCAAUCCUUUCUUAAAGGGAAUUUUUGCCGGCAUAUAAGCUUCAGGAAACAGUGGAACAAACUUACAGUUGGGCUCUUCCUUGGCAAAGUAGAAAACAGUGAUGCUGCAGAUAAGAAAAGAAAAUAAAGAGAUAUGGCUUAAAGAAUGCUGACUGCUCAGAAUCACCAAAGCAACCAAGCCUCUGAUUAUCAGCCAAAUUCCAUGAUUUAACUGUAUUGAUCUAGAAUAUAUGACAUUACAUAAUAUAUAUGUUUGGAUAGAUGAAUGUAUCUAGUUGUGGAAGAAAUUUACAGAAUCAAGAUAGACUAAUAAUAACUUAAUAUUAACAAAAUUUUUAUUGUACAUGUUAUUUUAUCAAUUAUAUUUAUUGUAACACUUUAUUUGUAUCAUAUGAUUUUUAUUUGUUAUUUUUAUCCUAUUACUAUAUUUAUAUUUAUUUAGAUUGAUUUAGUCAAAAGGUAUAAUAGUCAUUUAGGAAAUUAAGAGGGUCUAUGUGACUAUUUAUGAAACUAAAGGAACAUGUAUAAUUAUUUUAGCAAAUCUUAGGGGUGUGGGUGGUUUUUUCCGAAAUUAAUAUUGAUUUAAAAUUAAAAAAUUAAUAUUUACCUGUAACCUGUAAGUUACCUGCUCUAUUUUAAUUAAUUAUCUAAUUAUCUAUUAUAUUAAAUGAAUGAUUCAGAUUAAAACUCUUAUAUCUAAGGGUCCACAUUAGUUCCACUAUCAAUACUGUAAAAAUAAAUACAGCAUCAUAAAGAAAUCCAACUUUGAAUUGAUAAAGUUGUAUUCAACAGCUCUUGAAAAGACUAAGCUGGUCUUCUUUGCAUUUGAUCACUGGUAUUUCAGUUAAGUUUGUCGUUUACUUAAAUUUUUCUUGCUUUCAAUUUCCACUGUUGUUUUUUUUUUAAUAAAAUAAUUUGUUUAACUAGUCAUAGAAAUAAGAGAGAAAAUGGGCCAUUUCUUGACUCAAAGUCAAUUAUAAUUAUCAAAACUUGAGCGGACAUUGCAUGCCUAAAUUCCACGCACCCUAAAACGGUUUGAUUUGCUUUCACGCGUUCAUGAUUUUGCAUGAAAGAGAGUGCCUCUCGUCUCUUUCCGGACAGUGACUACAGUCAUGGAAAAAUUAUGUUAACGUGACGAAUACAAAACGUUAUUACAUACAAGAAUAAGUUUUUGGACCCGAGACUUGAGGGAGGUUCUAUCUAAUUCUAAAGAUUGUAACCAAAGCAUUAUCCCCAAUUUUUUUAAGUUAAAUAAAAUAAAAUUUAUGCUUAAGUAUAAAUAAUUUUUUAAAGUUAAAUAUAAAAUAAAAUUCAUGAACUUCCAAGAAAGAAAGAAGACCCUUCACCUUCUUCGUGACAACAAAUGAUGUUGAUAUGACAAAUACAAGCGCUAGUACAGGGAACAGCAUAAGACCGAGACUUGAUAAAUAUUAAAUAUAUAAAAUAAGUGGAGCAAACGAACAGAAUAAUAGAUUUUUAUAAUAUUCUUCAUAAAAAUCCAAGUUUUGAGCUGGCCCAUAAGCUUAUCUAGUGAAGUCUGGGUAUCCGCGUUGCCCAAGGUUCCGUUUGAAUUCAGGCUGUGCUGAUAUUUAUGACAUCCGACGGAGAGGAAAUAUUUUCAGUUGACUAAAUUAAAUAAAAGUAUAUUAUAAUCAUAUUAUAUAUUAGCAACAAAAAUAAAAAGAAAUGAAGAAAAACGCAUGCAAGACUUAGAGAAGUCAAUUAAAAGAUGGGAGUAUCAUCAGUUCAAUUGGUUAUAAAUAGCGUAGAGCCAUCCUCUCGUUGUUGCAGAAGAGAGACAGAAAGAGUGUGUGUAGGUGAUUAUAAUUAAGAAGAUAUAAUGUGUGGUUCAAAAAGAGUGUGGGUGAGUGAGUUAAUACUCAUAUUAUUAGUAGUAAAAGGGUGGUGGAGUGAGGGAUGUUUGGAGCAAGAGAGGUCUGCUCUCCUCCAACUCAGACAUUUCUUCAAUGAUGAUCAACGUCUUCAAAACUGGGUAGACGAUGAGAAUAAUUUAGAUUGUUGUCAGUGGGAAGGGAUUGAGUGCAACAACACCACUGGCAGUGUGAUUAAAUUAGAUCUAGCACAAACUCGAAAAUGGGAAUCAGCGAAGUGGUAUAUGAAUGCCUCUCUGUUUACUCCCUUUCAACAAUUAGAGUCUCUUGAUCUAAUUGGGAACAAUAUAGCUGAUUGUGUUAAAAACGAAGGUCAUUAAUUUACUCUAUUUUAAUUCUUCCUCCUCGUAAUUUCUUACAUCUAUCUGAUCCCUUUUGGCUUUUGUUUAAUUUGUACGUGAUACAAUAAAAUUAUUUUUUUUCAGGUUUGGAGAGGUUAUCAAGGUUGAACAACUUGAAGUUUCUUUUUUUAGAUGAUAACUACUUCAACAACAGCAUCUUUUCAUCUCUAGGUGGUCUUUCAUCACUCAGACACUUAUCAUUGGCUGUUAAUAGAUUGAAUGGAAGUGAUGAUAUUAAAGGUAAGUAAGCUUCAUCCCUUCUCCCGUGUCCCAUCUUUGUGGAUCUUAUUUCAUCGACCAGCUGGAAGUAUUGAUACGAGAUCUAGCUAGACUCUUGCUAGUUUAAGCUUCAAGGCUUUGAAUAUUAUAAAAAUAGGUUUAAGGAAUUAUCAAUAUAUGCAAUUUUCUAUGCUUCUCAUAAUCAGACACAAUUCAAUCUAAUUAUUUCGUAUGUCCUCUCUUCAAAAGUAAAGAAUUGUACACUAAACGGAAAUCGACAUUGUAGCUUUUUAUUUUUUCUAAUGCUCUUUCUUUGUUAACGAGUUUAUAUCCUGAGAGUGCAUUGGAUUCAAAAAAAAAAAAGUUUUGAUGUUCAAGGUAAGCCAUAAUAACAUGCAUCUUAUUUAUCUGUCUAUAUCUAAAUUUGUGCACUGAAUUUAGUAUUUUAGUUAGUGUGAAGGGAUCAGAUAUUGGCUUCCAUAAACCAACUUGUAUUUACUUAAUUAAUUAAUUAACACCAUUUAGUAUUUAACAAAUUAAAAUUUCGUGUUUAAUUUGUCUUAUUUUUUAUUUUUUGAAGCAAGAAUAAGGUAUAGCAGUAGGUAAAGUUGAAAUACAUAUUUAUUCCUUACAAAUUUAAAUUCGUUUUCAGCCAAAUAUACCUACUUAAAACCACUCAAUCAUGCCAUUGGCAACAGUUUUUUAGGUUUUUCUAGUUAACCGUGUACUUUUUUGCUUAUUAAUAAAAUUCUUUUGUGCUGAGAUUUAAAAUAAAGAAGGAGAAAAUAAGUUAUUUAAUUAACCUUGUUUUAAGUGUUGGCAUAAAUGCAGGACUGAAUUCCUUGAGUAACUUGGAGGAGCUGGACAUGACAGGCAAUGCAAUCGAAAAUCUUGUGGUUCCUAAAGGUAUACAAAAUGUUCAAAUAUUAAUAAUUUGGAGGACAGUUUAAUUGAUUUGAUUAGGGAAUGCCCAAAUGACACUUACCCAAAAUAAUUUAAUCCAAAAUUGUAUCCCAAACAGAUUUCAUAGGUUUGAGGAAGUUGAAUACCCUUAAUUUAGGGGGAAGCGAAAUUCGAAUGAUAGAUGGAAGCAAGGUGUUGCAAUCAAUAGGAUCACUACCGUCCCUCAAAACACUUUGCCUUUCAUAUACUAAUUUUACGGGAACAGUAGUUAAUCAAGGUAAGUAAAUCUUUUAUGUCGAAAAUAAUUGAAUUAAUAUAUAUAGCUAAAAUUUAUUGUUUCUACUUCUUUCUACAUAGAAUUGCACAAUUUCACCAACUUGGAAGAAUUGAUAUUGGGCAAAUCUGAUCUCCAUGUAAGCCAGCUUCUGCCAAGCAUCGCAUCAUUCACUUCGUUAAAGUAUUUGUCAAUGGGAGGUUGUAUACUCACAGGUGCCGUACAUGGUCAAGGUAAAUUAUGGGUAUCUGAAGCUUUUAAAUUUUUUCUUUUAAAUUUUUUAUAUUUUCACUGUCCAAUGGUUCUACCUUCUCUAAAUUGUAGGAUUCUUGAUUAAGGUUAAUGAAAUUUUUGUUCUGUUAUGUUAAGAAUAUUUCGAUCGCUUAGAAGAGUAAAGAAAAAUAAGUAAAUUAACCCAAAAAAAAAAGAAAAGAACAGGACCGGAUUAUCCUUAUUCCCUUGCAUUAUGUGAUCAAUAUCAAAAUUAUAACCAUUUCUUGUUUAUUGCUUGUAGAUUUUCGUAAAUUCAAGAAUUUGGAAAAUCUGGACAUGAAUCUGGUGUAUGUUGACGUCAACACCAGUUUUCUUCAAAUUGUCGGUGAAUCGAUGCCUUCUCUCAAGUUUUUAUCACUGACAGAUUCAAUUCUUAAUAAAAACACCAUUCUUGAUCAAGGUUAAUUAAUGAUUCUCCUUCUCCCUCUCUCGCAUCAUAACUAAAUUUAAUUGAGAAUAUCUAUAAUGCGAGCUAUUUAUAAACUUAAUGAAAGAUGAUAAGGAGCCAUAAUAAUGACAAAAAUAACUGUAAAAUAGUGCACUGUUGUAGUGUUGAUUGAAAAAUAAUGCUAAUUUUUUACUUAACAUUAUAACGCUGUAUAAUUUUACAGUUAUUUUGUUGCCAUUACGUCAGAUUAUACUGUUCAACUAUCAGUGAUCAAACUUAAUUUUUAAUGUGUACUUGAAAGAUAUGUAAUUAUUUAUCUAUGUGUACUGAAGGAUGAAUUAUAUAUUUUUCAGGACUUUGUCAGUUAGUGCAUCUGCAAGAGUUACACAUCGGCGGUAAUGAUUUGAGAGGUAGCUUGCCAUGGUGCUUGGCAAACAUGACAUCCCUUCAAGUGUUAGAUGCCUCUUCUAAUCAACUUACUGGAAACAUCUCCCCAGGCCUUUGUGAGUUGGUGUUUCUAAGAGAGUUAUCCAUUCAUAACAAUGAUUUAAGAGGUAGCUUGCCUUUGUGCAUGGCAAAUUUGACUUCCCUUCGAGUAUUAGAUGUCUCUUACAAUCAACUUACUGAAAACAUCUCAUCUUCCCUCAUGCAUCUAAUAUCUAUGGAAGAGCUCAUAAUUUCAAAUAAUCACUUCUUCCAAAUCCCUAUUUCACUUGAACCACUUUUCAAUCUCUCAAAACUCAAGACUUUCGAUGGUGAAAUAUGCGCAAAAACUGAGUCACAUUAUAAUUCUUUGACCCCAAAAUUCCAACUGACUUCUAUCUCACUAUCUGGUUACAUAGAUGGUGGCACAUUUCCCAAAUUCUUGUACCAUCAGCAUGACUUGAAGAAUGCUGAUCUCUCACACCUUAACUUGAGUGGAAAAUUUCCAAAUUGGUUGCUAGAAAACAAUACGAACUUAGAGACGCUUCUUCUUGCCAACAACUCUCUUUUUGGAUCAUUUCGGAUGCCAAUUCAUUCCCACCAGAAAUUGGCAAUAUUGAAUGUCUCCAACAAUUUCUUUCAAGGCCAUAUUCCGGUGGAAAUCGGAACAUAUCUGCCAGGUUUAACGGAUUUAAACUUAUCUAGAAAUGCUUUCAACAGUAGCAUUCCCUCUUCAUUUGCUGAUAUGAAAAUGUUGAAAAGGUUGGACAUAUCCUACAAUCAGUUGACUGGUGAAAUCCCUGAGCGCAUGGCCACGGGUUGCUUCUCAUUGGAAAUUCUUGCAUUGUCAAACAACAGUUUGCAAGGUCAUAUAUUCUCUAAAAAAUUUAACUUGACAAAUUUGAUGAGGUUGCAGUUGGAUGGUAAUAAAUUCAUUGGAGAGAUCCCAGAAAGCUUAUCUAAGUGCUAUUUGUUGGCAGGAUUGUAUCUGAGUGAUAAUCAUCUCUCUGGUGAGAUUCCAAGAUGGUUGGGUAAUUUGUCAAUUUUAGAAGAUAUUAUAAUGCCCAAUAACAAUCUGGAAGGACCAAUUCCAAUCGAGUUCUGUCAGCUUUAUUUUCUGACGAUUUUAGACCUUUCAAACAAUGCUAUUUUUGGAACCUUACCAUCUUGUUUUAGUCCAGCAUCUAUUGAACAAGUUCAUUUGUCAAAAAACAGGAUAGAAGGACGGUUGGAAAGUAUAAUCCAUGACAGCCCCAAUUUGGUGACAUUAGAUCUCAGUUAUAAUCGCUUACACGGAAGUAUUCCAAAUCGGAUUGAAAGACUACCUAAGUUAAACUACAUUCUUUUGGCUAAUAAUUAUAUUGAAGGCGAAAUACCAGUUCAAUUAUGCCAUUUGAAGGAAGUGCAGUUGAUUGAUCUUUCUCAUAAUAAUCUAUCUGGUCAUAUUCCUCCUUGCUUGGUUAACACUUCACUUAGUGAAGGUCAUCAUGAGGCAGUAGCUCCAACUUCUAGUUUGUUGGGUCAACUGCCUGCCUCACCUCCAUCUGAAUCUGAGGCUGCAAGUGGACCUCCGAUGGGAAAGGAAGAAACUGUACAGUUCACAACAAAGAAUAUGUCCUACUAUUAUCAAGGAAGAAUUUUGACGAGUAUGUCUGGGAUUGAUCUUUCUUGUAACAAACUGACAGGUGAGAUUCCUACUCAAAUUGGAUAUCUUACUAGGAUUCAUGCACUAAAUCUAUCUCAUAACAAUUUGACGGGCACAAUCCCGACAACAUUUUCAAACCUGAAGCAAAUCGAAAGCUUGGACCUCUCCUACAACCUACUGCAUGGGAAAAUCCCUUCUCAGCUCACUGUGCUAACUACAUUGGCGGUCUUCAGAGUAGCAUACAAUAACUUAUCAGGCAAAAUCCCAGAUAGAGUUGCACAAUUUUCAACAUUUGAGGAAGAUAGCUAUGAGGGGAAUCCUUUUCUUUGUGGAUGGCCACUGUCUAAAAGUUGCAAUGAUAGUGGAUUAUCAGCAGUGACACCAGAAGCUUACACUGAAAAUGAAGAAGGUGAUAGUUUAAUUGACAUGGACAGUUUCUUGAUCACUUUUACAGUAUCUUAUGGAAUUGUGAUAUUAGGAAUUAUCGGAGUUUUGUACGUAAACCCCUAUUGGCGGCGAAGAUGGUUUUACCUUGUUGAAGUGUGUAUGACCUCUUGCUACUAUUUUGUGGCAGACAAUCUUGUUCCUAGAAGAUUCUAUGGUGGAUGGAUGUAAUUUCAUUUACUUUACAACUUAUAUGUAAUUUUUAAAGAAUUUUCUUUUGCAUGCAUGGAAUAGCAACUCAAUAAAAGUAUUUGAUGCAAAUUGUCCAAGAACAACUUAGUAAUUUCAUUGCUACUAUUCGGUUGUAUAUAUACAGUUAAUGAAAUUUUUAAUCAUUCGCAGUAGGAAUUUCUUUAGAUGGCGGCCAAAACUAACAGAUUUGGGGCUCUACUUCUACACAUCAUAACAGGCAAAAGGUCUCUCUUUUACACGAUCUGAAUCAUUCAAUAGGUGUCUACUUCUACACAUCAUAACAGGCAAAAGGUCUCUACUUCUACGCCCCCUGGAGUUCUCCAUUAAACUUGACGGUUGAGAUUUCAGGUCCAGAUGAAAGUUAAAUGCAGGCGACGAGACUACACUUUAAGUAAACUGGGACAAACUUAAAAUAAAAAAAACUAUAGUCCAGGGUGAGAGUGAUGGGUAGCUCAACUUAUGGAGGAUAACUAGGACUUGGAAUAACUAUCAGAUUUGCAACUCUUGUAAUAUAUAGUGGGCAUUCAGGUAGCAAUUAUCGCCUUGGGAGUUACCGUAAUCGAUUCAUUUCCUCCUUCAUUUCUGAUGGUAACCCAGCUCUAUACAAGAACAAUAAGAGAAGGUUCCUUUAAGAAAUUUCACAACCCACAAUUUUUUUUUUUCCUUUUUGCCCUGUUCCUCACAAUAAACACACCUAACACACCAAGCCGUGCCCAAAAUAAUCCUAUUUUAUUCAUGUCAUGAAUCCAAAAACUAUCCCAGCUCACUUUGUUUAACCAGCAUAACUAAAUUGUGGGUAUAAAUGAACAGACUUUCGAAGCCUGUAACUUAUAAUAAGCUCAAACCCAAAAAUGACAUUUAAAUCCUGCAAGUGUUUUUCAUCAUCCCUAACAAAAAGAAACAAGAAUAAUUAUAUACCAAUAAUUUUUCCAUAAAAAAUACUGAUUUGAGUUGAAGCACUAUACAAACUGGGUUUUAUUACACUUGCAGAAAGCUACACGGUAGACAAAAUCUAGCAGCUACAUAUUGGUAUCACUUUCAGCUGGUCAUGAAUGGUGUGCAUUCAGCAGUGCACAAUAGACCAUGUCUAUGAAUUGAUUGUCCUAUUACAUAUAAAAGCUGGUCAGAUAUACAAGGAAAAAAAUAAUAAUUGAAAAUGCAUCACAAAAAAUAAGUGUUUCGCAUUAGUGUUUGCACUCUUAAGCAUGGCAAAGUGGUGCAGGGUUCAUGAUUUUGAAGACAAUGAUAAGUGAAAAAUAGUUCAAUCCAUUGAUGAACAUAAAUUUAUUUACAUGUCAAUUUAGAUACCAUCAAAAAGUAAACAGUAAUUCACAGUCACUUAAAAUAGUUGAUAAAAUGCGUGCCAUGAAUGCAUUUUUGUACAUAAGAAAUCCAAAGAGUAUUUCUGACAAUACAAAUAUGCUAGCUUUAAGUCUGCUGUCAAUAUGCAAUUAAGAAGAUUAUACCAGCUGCAUGAUAAAGUUCCCCUAAUCUUAAUAACAAUAAACAUGAACAUGUCAGAUGCAAUUCUAGCUUCGACCAUUUGCAUAACCAGAAAUCCUAACCUGAACAAGCACCAGAAGUGCCUCUCGGACUUUCUCCUUGCUGAUAAAUGGUCCACUGUUCCAAGUAAGAGCAGGAGUAAGAGAUGGUGGAGGGAUUGGUGGUGGAAACGGUUGAAGCACUGGGGCACCAUAUGGGCGUUGUAGACUCAAGGGAGUAUUAAGUGGCAGAGCUGUUGGUGUAGAUGAAGAGACAGGCUGCAUCAUCCCCGCAGAGGAGGAUGGAGGAGGAACAAAGAAUAAGGAAGGCUUUACAAGGUUAGGGGUAGGUGCUGACAGAGGUGGAGAUGGUAUUGCAAGGUUGGCACGAUAGGAGAAGCAACACUGGCGGGAUGAGAAGGUAAAGAAAUAGUUGUAUUGGACUGGUAAGGUUGUGCAGAGAUUGCUGCAUUAGAAGUAUUCCCCACAGUCAAAGCUGUCUGCAAUGAUAAGGACAGAUGUCAUAUACAAGGACAUCAUAGAAGUUGAACCUCACACAAAAAUGAAGUGAUAACAUGUGAAAAUAGUAUAUGACUUGCUGCAUUUUUGUGGUAAUGUUGCAUACUUAUGUAGAAACAUAUUAUUUCAAAGAAAACAUACACUGAAGAAGUUCACAAAAGCAGGAUCUUCAGGAACAUCAACAGCAUUUGAGGGAGUUGACUCUAGAGGACCAUCCAUAACUGCCAUAGUUGGAACAGCUUCCAGUUCCUCAAACUCACUGCAGUUUAACAUAAAAGGAACUUGAUGACCAAUUUAAGUAAUAAUUAGAUGAUAUACGAGGUUAGGGAAAAUGAUGAGUGGACCCUUAUGGAAGGUGAUUUCACCUUAGCUAAACAGGAAAAUAAAAAGAAAUCAAAGCUGAAUCCUCGAGUGCAAUGCAAAGAAUUUUUUCUCUCUUCUCUAACUCCUCUUAUUCAAAAUUGCUCAUCAUUGUGCUGUUCUUCGAGAUUUCGCUAGAGUAGAGAAAGCUAUUCUCCCGUUAAGUGCAGAGGAAAGAGAAGGGCAAAGGCCUGGUAUGAUGCUAUUCUAUAAGAAGUGAGAAAGUGAAGGGCUAAAAUAUUUUGCAAUUUGGAGGUGGUGUUUUUCAGUGUGUGUGCUUCUGAAUUUAUUACCUCUUUAGGAUCCAUAGAAAUUGCCUCUUGUUCAGCAUGCACUGUGCCUACGAGUAAGGCGAGCUUGCAUGGUAUCUAUUGUCUAUUUAUUUGGAUAUUCAAACAGGACUACCAGCAACCAAACACAAAUCCCCAAACAAAACACUCUUUCAAGUGCAAGGAAAGAGUAACUUGGGCAUAUUUAUGGUUCAAGCACUACCAUAACUAAGAAUGUGAUGCUGUCCACAAACACUAUAUCAGUGCCUUUUGAACUACAUCACAUGCUCGAAGACUUUUUUUUUAGUCAUACAUAAAUUAGCUAUAAAAUUAAGACUAUUAUACAACUAAAAAGAAAGAAAAAUUGUUUGCUACUACAUAUCAAAACUGGUAAUAGCAAUGUAAGAUGGCAGACUUCUUACUUAAACAGAUGAGAGGCUGCAAAUAAAAAAUUUGUGCAAAUAAAAUAUAUGAUAAAGAGCAUAAUACUUUCUUGGGGGCUAAAAAUAAUAUACAACUUGUGAAAUAUAAAUUGAGCUACCAUUACCUUUUAGAUGUAGCAACUUUCGACUUUUGAGGCACCUUGGAAUAUGCAUUCAGAAUCCUGCAUUUGGAAGCCAAAUAAAUAAUGUCAACAACAAUUUUACAAUAGAAAAAUUAAAAAUUGAUAAAUGGCAGUUGUAAUUUAUGUAUGUGUAAAGAUAGCAUCACAUCCAGGGUCCUCCCAUAAACAUGCUUGUAACAAGAAUUAGUUUGCCUCAACUGCUAGCAACUAUACAAUAGUAAAAAUCACUCUUAUGAACUCAACAAUACUAGGCACCAAUAAGAGUAUGAUACCGCCAUUCUAAAUGGAAGAGAAUACAACUGUUUUACAACUAUGUCACAUCAGGAGAUAUGCUAGGAGGAUUAAUCCAGAUACCAUCCAACCCAAUUUGGAAAACUCGAGUCAGAAACCAGGAGCUGUAACCAAACCUUACAAUCUUGAAGGAAGAAGGAGACUUGGGGCAUUUUUCCAGAUAGGUGACUUACAAGAUCUCCUGCCAAGAAAAUAUCUAUUGCUUUGAACCUCCAUUGAAAUUUCUUUUCCCUUUUUCUUGUUUUGACUUGGAACUUUCCAGCAUCAUCUAUUUGAUCUUUUUUAAAGCUAAAAUAGCAAUCUAUGGGUUGUCAACAUCUUAUCCCCCCCCCCCCCCCCCUCGGGGGGGCCCCCAAAAAAAAAAAACCAAUGAGUUGUCAAUAAAUAGCACCUACUCAACUUAUGUUCUCCAAUGGAUGACAAUGUGCAAAUCGACCUAGCAGCCACAUUUUUCCCCCCUUUCAACCACCAUUAGGCAACUUUUCUAACCUUUCUUCAUUGCCCACGUCUACAGAACUAUCAUAUAAAGACUACAUUAUUAUUGGGAUAGAGAAUAAAAUACAGACUAUAUUAUUAUUAUAUCUAAUUUUAUGAAUUAACUAGUGCAAGACUUAUUUAGUGUCAAAUCAAGAACUAAUUAGAAAAGACAACUCAUGAUAAUACAGAC